Molecule: ribosomal RNA, 514 nt
Filed under: uncultured bacterium
Lineage: Bacteria
Description: partial 16S ribosomal RNA
Rfam family: Bacterial small subunit ribosomal RNA
Source: RNAcentral
AACGAACGCUGGCGGCGUGGAUAAGACAUGCAAGUCGAACGGGACAAGUAGCAAUAUUUGUCUAGUGGCGAACGGGUGCGUAACACGUGGGCAACAUGCCUGGAAGAGCGGGAUAGCCCGGGGCAACUCGGAUUAAUACCGCAUGUGACAACUGGGCGGAUCCGCCCUGUUUUCAAAGGCGGGGACCGCAAGGCCUGCCGCUUCCAGAUUGCCCCGCGUCCUAUCAGCUAGUUGGCGGGGUAACGGCCCACCAAGGCGACGACGGGGUAGCUGGUCUGAGAGGACGACCAGCCACACUGGAACUGAGACACGGUCCAGACACCUACGGGUGGCAGCAGUCGAGAAUCUUUCACAAUGGGGGAAACCCUGAUGGAGCGACGCCGCGUGGAGGAUGACGGUCUUCGGAUUGUAAACUCCUGUCAUGAAAGAACAAGCGGAGCGGGUGAACAGCCCGCCGAGUUGAUAGUAUUUCAAGAGGAAGGGACGGCUAACUUCGUGCCAGCCGCCGCAGUAA